CUUCUUUCCUCUAGUCGGGUAGUGAUGUAGUAACUUUCUUCCUGUUGGAGAGGCAAAGGCACCUCUUUUCAUGUUGGGUCUGCAGUUUUGGCAAGUGGUAGGGCUGAGAGGUCUCCUUGUGGCCCCUGGAAUCCAUUUUAAAUUAGCUAUUGAGGUAAGGAGACGAGCCAAAAACGUCCAUCAGAGGAUGAAAUUUGAAGAGCUAAGUGUCUUUAGCUGACAUAGGAAUCUGACCAUUCAGUCCCACUGGUUUCUGGACAGCCAGCAAAUGCUGCGGAUAGCAUGCUCCUUGCUUUAUUGUUUGUGACAUAAUUCCUGAAGAGAACCGAGCUGUGGAACAGAAUGCAGGAAUAAAUACAGCGAUGAUGAUGGCUGGAGUGGCUGAGAUGACUAAGAGCUGUUUGAGAACUGUCGAGACAGGAAGUGUUUCUUCCAUAGCCAGAGCUACAAAUAGCUGUGAGACUCUAAGAAACAGAACAAACUAACCUCUAAAUUCAUCAAUUACAAUAGAUCUCUCUCAAAG
Molecule: long non-coding RNA, 523 nt
Filed under: Capra hircus (goat)
Lineage: Eukaryota; Metazoa; Chordata; Mammalia; Artiodactyla; Bovidae
Description: lncRNA (ENSCHIG00000002532.1)
Source: RNAcentral